UAAGUAGAAUUUUGACGUAUCUGUACUUUGUUGUUUACAUUUCUGGCAACUUUCAUGUUUAGUCCACUACAUUUCCUCAAUAAAAUGAAGGUGAUGGUCU
This is a long non-coding RNA of Thalassophryne amazonica, 100 nucleotides long. RefSeq lists it as uncharacterized. Lineage: Eukaryota; Metazoa; Chordata; Actinopteri; Batrachoidiformes; Batrachoididae. The transcript is spliced from 3 exons. The record is from RefSeq and is a predicted model, not a curated record.